AUGAACGCUAGCGAUAGGCUUAACACAUGCAAGUCGAGGGGCAUCACGGGGUAGCAAUACUUUGGUGGCGACCGGCGUACGGGUGCGUAACACGUAUGCAACCUUCCUGUAAGUGUGGGAUAGCCUCCUGAAAGGGAGAUUAAUACCGCAUGAUAUGUAUUUGCUGCAUGGUAGAUACAUUAAACAUUUAUGGCUUACAGAUGGGCAUGCGUUCCAUUAGGCAGUUGGUGGGGUAACGGCUCACCAAACCUACGAUGGAUAGGGGUUCUGAGAGGAAGGUCCCCCACACUGGAACUGAGACACGGUCCAGACUCCUACGGGAGGCAGCAGUGAGGAAUAUUGGUCAAUGGGCGUAAGCCUGAACCAGCCAAGUCGCGUGAAGGAUGACUGCCUUAUGGGUUGUAAACUUCUUUUACAGGGGAAUAAAUUGAGUCACGUGUGAUUUUUUGCAUGUACCCUGUGAAUAAGCAUCGGCUAACUCCGUG
This 485-nucleotide ribosomal RNA is filed under the name uncultured bacterium. RNAcentral's name for it is "bacterial SSU rRNA". It matches the Rfam family "Bacterial small subunit ribosomal RNA", at positions 29 to 507 of the family's 1533-position model. The record is from RNAcentral.